AAUUUUUAGGUCGCUACAAAGGCAAGUUGAUUAAUCAUGAAUAAUGAUAACUAACAACAGAAGUUAUAUUAAUUACGAUAAAAAAUAAAAGAUUUAAAAAAAAAUCCUGAAAGCUUGCGUUCGUCGUCUUCGUCCACUGUGGUUCACAUUAUUCAAUGAAAAUUAUUUAUUUGAAAUUAGUAAAAACAAAAGUUUCAAAGCAAAGCAAACCGUCAAACAUCGGUGCCAAUGCCGGUUCUCCACGUCUCACCUCUCUACUUUCUGCCAUCUUCGUGCGGUUAACGAAGCCAUUCUUUAACUCCUUGCGGAUCGCUUGCCUUGAAUUGGUAGUAACGGCAGGUGGAUUGCCCAACUGAAUCGUCGGUUUGAGUUCCAUUGUAGUCUUCGCCGCCUUGUUUUUCUCCGACAUUGAGUACUGCGGCAGAGGCAAGCCGAAUUCAUCACCGAAGUAAUCGGGAGAUAUUGCAUUGCUUAAUGAUCCGAAAAUCGACAUUGUAUUCAGUAUGGAGCGAGAUGCAAAAAAAAGCUUGGUGGAAUUGAAGGAGGAUUAU
Molecule: long non-coding RNA, 551 nt
Filed under: Gossypium barbadense (sea-island cotton)
Lineage: Eukaryota; Viridiplantae; Streptophyta; Magnoliopsida; Malvales; Malvaceae
Description: long non-coding RNA (GBAR_LNC023488)
Source: RNAcentral